Molecule: long non-coding RNA, 378 nt
Filed under: Androctonus crassicauda
Lineage: Eukaryota; Metazoa; Arthropoda; Arachnida; Scorpiones; Buthidae
Source: RNAcentral
GUAAUAUAUUCACCUACUUCCACUUCAACCUUCACAUCCAAAAAAUGAAAGGAGCUAUUAUUUUCUUGCUCUAUUCGUAGCGUAAGGCCUAAAGUUUUAUCAGUUAGAGCAUCCACUAUAUGUUUAUUAUGCUGUUUUUAAUCUUUCCAUAUCAUGCAUAUAUCGCCUACAUACCUUACGUACAUUUUAAAGUCUUCCUUAAAACUGUCCAGUACUAUGCUUUCUUUAAACCUUAUCACUAGUUCGGCCAUUACCCCCGCAAGCGGUCCUCCUAUUGGCACUCCUCAUUGUUCCAAGGAACAACGAGGAGUGCCAAUCCUUGGAACUGGAAGUAUGAGUUAUAGGUUAUUAAAUGUACGACUUCUCUCAACGUGUUAG